CCCCGGCGCCUGGCUACUUCCUGGACUCUGCUGGGAUGGGUUCAAAGUAGAGAAAGUGGAAGAGGGAAGAGUUACCCGGGUGCGGGAGGGGAACCGGGCCGCAGACUCUUCAGGCUCGGGGAGGGAUAGUGAGCAGGGGCCUGGCUGGACGGAGGGCCAGAUUCCGGGAACAGAGGAGCACAAUCGGGGGCGUACUGAAGUGUAGACGUGGGCGGGGGCGCCGAGGGACAAACAUAGGGAGGGGCAUUGAGGGGGUACCUGACGAGGAUAGAGGUUCUGUCAUGAGAACGUAAAAACCGCAGGACCAGGGCCAGAGGACCCGCAGACCGAUGGGAGAUAGGGUGGAUGAAACAGCACAGAAAGCCAGGCAUGGCGGGAAAGACUGAGGGACAAGCCGGUACAGAUACGUGGAAAGACGUGCAGAGGAGAUGAUGGGGGUCUGAUGGCGGGUAUUGCAAGGGCUGAGGACAAAGGUGGAGCCAACUACUAUCGGCACCCAGCGUGGACCACCAUGGGCCCACAGUACAUAUGUCGGCAGGAGCUGGCAGGAGAUCAGAUGCUACUUCAAUUCCAAGUGGCUCAUGAACAAAAGCUGUGAAGUUGCUAAGAAACCUGCUUCUCUGAGGGUUCACCAGGUUUUCCUUUGUUUCUAUGGCAGUGUGUGUGUGUGUGUGUAUGCGUGCGUGCAUGCACACCAAGGGUCGUCACCCUGCCAGCUCUGAAGCAAGUCAGAUUGGAAGGUAAGGAUUGCAGACUUCCCUGGGGCACCUUCAUGGGCCCGAGGAUCACCAAGCCAGGCAGCCCAGGCACUGAGGGUGAACAGAGGAAACGGAUGCCCGUGGCCAGAGGUUAGCAGAGCUGUAAGCAGCUGCAGGAAGGGAGCUCUGGAUACUGAAUCCUGGACCCACUUCAGCAAUAGCCCAGAAGCCGUAGGGUGGGAGACACCAACAGAACUGAAAGGGGGCCCCACUCCUAUCCCCUAGGUUAGCUUGGAAAAUAAAUCCCUAGCAACCUCAGGUCUACUACA
This 1027-nucleotide long non-coding RNA is filed under the name Felis catus (domestic cat). Its description in RNAcentral is "lncRNA (ENSFCAG00000048592.1)". The record is from RNAcentral. Lineage: Eukaryota; Metazoa; Chordata; Mammalia; Carnivora; Felidae.